CUGCCUGCCAACAACUAUUUAAUUAGCUCCCUGGUAGCUGAACAGCUUGGCGUAUCAAUGAGAUAGCCAGAUACCUUUGAACUUCCAGAAAGGGAGGUGCUGUCUUUUCUGAGCAGUAAAAAGACCUAAAGCCUAAAGAAAAUCAGGAUGAAGAAACGCAUCCUUUCGCUUGCACUGGGAGCAUAUUUUUCAUUCACACUCCGAUAGUCCAUCUAAAUGAAACUGAUCAUUUUGGGACAAACAUGAAAUUCAGCUGCAUACCUGGAAGAGGAACUGAUGCCUACCACAAAAACUAUUAAUAACCUACUUAUAGUUACCAAAGGCUUAUAGGUAUUUUAAUGUGAAAGUUGGUUCAUUAUGUGGGCCUCAUUAACACAAUCCAAGUUAAGUUCUAUCUGAGCUCUCAAGGAGUGUUGAGUGGAUGAGAGAACAGCCUUUAACAGUUAGUUAACUUUAGUAUGGAAUGAAUUGGCAGGGGACCAUUGGUGGGAUGGGGCGGGGUGAAAUGGAGGUCUGAAAUUUUCUUGCUGUUUGUGCUCCUAGCUCGGAAGUAAACAAAAUAAUUAAUUGCAAUCAUGUGAAAAUUUUCUGAAUCUAAGCUUUCGAGAUGAUAAAUUGGAAACAGAAAUGUUCCAAACAAUAAACCUUGGAAUUCUUGACUGUGUACAUGACCCAGUACACGCUCAUUCAAACAUUGUA
Rhincodon typus (whale shark) is the source of this 699-nucleotide long non-coding RNA. RefSeq lists it as uncharacterized. The record is from RefSeq and is a predicted model, not a curated record. The transcript is spliced from 2 exons. Lineage: Eukaryota; Metazoa; Chordata; Chondrichthyes; Orectolobiformes; Rhincodontidae.